Molecule: long non-coding RNA, 693 nt
Organism: Marmota monax (woodchuck)
Lineage: Eukaryota; Metazoa; Chordata; Mammalia; Rodentia; Sciuridae
Exons: 4
Source: RefSeq, a predicted model, not a curated record
UUCACACAUCUGCCACUCAUUAACUGGGUCCAUGGUGAGACUGCUUAACCCCUCCAAGGCUCAGUUGCCUGGCCUGUAAAGUGGGGAUAACACUCACACUCCCAUGGAGGCUGCUCUGAGGGUUAACUGCGACAUCACACGCAAAGCACCCGGCAAGACUAAGGACUCAACAAGAUACAAGUUAACACUGAAGUGAUCGAUCUGAAACAAGCCCUGUGCUCAGUCAGUGGUUGAUCUGAAACAAGACGGCUCAUUGCCACUGUCUAGCGGGAAGCAGAGAAGUCAACAGGCAACUGAGAUCUGACAGGCCAGAGACACCUCGGGCAAGCACCAACUCCAGAUGCAGAGUCCUGGGGAAGAUGCUUCCAGAGAAAGAGAGCCCCUCAGCCAUGCAGCGAUGAGGAGGAACACAGGGUCUCACUAAAUUGCCCAGGCUGGAUUUCAACUUGUGAUCCUUUAAAAGCUUCAGCCUCCAGAGCAGUUAAGAGUACACAUGUGCACCACCAUGCCCAGCUUUCCUGUGGUUCUCCUACAGCAAAAGUUGAAAGUCUCCAAGUAUCCUGCAGCAGAGGAGAGGCCGAAGGAAGAGAGAAAAGUACAGGAUGGAUAGGAGAACAAUUUCACCUGCUAGUCUGUAUUUGAUUCUGGAUUCUCCUAGCCACACUGGGAAAUAAAUAAUAUCAGUCAACUGAA